This 321-nucleotide long non-coding RNA is filed under the name Helianthus annuus (common sunflower). RNAcentral describes it as "hypothetical non coding rna". The record is from RNAcentral. Lineage: Eukaryota; Viridiplantae; Streptophyta; Magnoliopsida; Asterales; Asteraceae.
CUCUCCUCUCUCUAUAAUUCGGUCCAUACCCCCCCCCCUCUCCACAACUGAUUUCCAUCACCAUCAUCACCUUCACAUCUCCAUCUUCUUCCACUAAAAGCUCUCUUGCAAGUUGUGAAGAUCCUCCAUAGAAGUGAGAAGUUGGAGUGCUCUCAAGAAGCCUUGUUCAAGCUUUUCUCACCAUCAUUCUUCAUCAUCCUUGCACUAAGAUUCCAACCCUAGCCUUGUGCUAGUAUCGAGAAAAUGAUUUUCUAUAAAAUAUGGGUAGUCGUGUUUGCUGAGGAGAUUUGGGUUACGAGUACCGAAGACGCAAUACUGUGA